This 74-nucleotide transfer RNA is filed under the name Desulfurococcales archaeon. RNAcentral describes it as "tRNA-Tyr". It matches the Rfam family "tRNA". Rfam says of the family: Transfer RNA (tRNA) molecules are approximately 80 nucleotides in length. Their secondary structure includes four short double-helical elements and three loops (D, anti-codon, and T loops). The record is from RNAcentral. Lineage: Archaea; Thermoproteati; Thermoproteota; Thermoprotei; Desulfurococcales.
CCCGCCGUAGCUCAGCGGCAGAGCGCCCGGCUGUAGACCGGGUGGUCCGGGUUCGAAUCCCCGCGGCGGGACCA